CUACAACAGCUGCACCUUUCACUUUGACCCCUGAGCCUGUGUAUAUCCUCUCAGUAGACUUGGAAAGAGAAACUUUCUCAGAUGCCCUUACUGACACCAGCAGCAAUGAAUUCAAGAACCUUGAAGCAAGAGUCUUAAACACAUGCUCUGCGAUAUACAAAAAAGAAUUUGGAAAAAAGUUUCAACACUGCAAAGUGAAAAAGUUCAGUGCCUUACCUUCAACACGAGCGACUGGAACUGAAGCAACUAUUGAGGUUGUGUUCAAUAGGAGUACUCCUAUAGCAGAUCUCCCACAGAAUAAUGUUGUUGCUGAAAUCUUAAAAAAAGCUGUGACUAAUACCAACAAUACGUUCAAUGUGAGCAUAAAUCCGGACUCAGUCAAAAUACUAGAAGGUCCAGUUCCAGGUACAACCACCGGACUUACAACUGCAGCACCUACAACUGCAGCAACUACAACUGCUGUACCUACAACAGCUGCAUCUACAACAUCAGCGCCUACAACAGCUGCACCUAUCACUUUGACCCCUGAGCCUGUGUAUAUCCUCUCAGUUGACAUGGAAAGAGAA
Molecule: long non-coding RNA, 566 nt
Organism: Etheostoma spectabile (orangethroat darter)
Lineage: Eukaryota; Metazoa; Chordata; Actinopteri; Perciformes; Percidae
Exons: 4
Source: RefSeq, a predicted model, not a curated record